UCACAUGUGAUCCUCUGAAAGGCAAAAUUAGUAUCCCAAAACUCUUUUGGAUACCUUACGAGCUCUCAUAGGCCUAACCUCUAUCUUGUCCGUCUACUGUCACUUGACAUAGAUCAGACAUCUUUAAAUCUUCUGAUGAUCAAGACUCAGUUCUUACUAUAUCAUAUCUAAUAUGAUAUAGUAAGAAUGGAUUUAAAGAGAACCCAAUUCACUCUGUAAUU
This 221-nucleotide long non-coding RNA is filed under the name Elaeis guineensis (African oil palm). RNAcentral's name for it is "long non-coding RNA (EGUI_LNC005606)". Lineage: Eukaryota; Viridiplantae; Streptophyta; Magnoliopsida; Arecales; Arecaceae. The record is from RNAcentral.